GCUAUCUGCAGUCGAGCGGACAGAAGGGAGCUUGCUCCCGGAUGUUAGCGGCGGACGGGUGAGUAACACGUGGGUAACCUGCCUGUAAGACUGGGAUAACUCCGGGAAACCGGAGCUAAUACCGGAUAGUUCCUUGAACCGCAUGGUUCAAGGAUAAAAGACGGUUUCGGCUGUCACUUACAGAUGGACCCGCGGCGCAUUAGCUAGUUGGUGAGGUAACGGCUCACCAAGGCGACGAUGCGUAGCCGACCUGAGAGGGUGAUCGGCCACACUGGGACUGAGACACGGCCCAGACUCCUACGGGAGGCAGCAGUAGGGAAUCUUCCGCAAUGGACGAAAGUCUGACGGAGCAACGCCGCGUGAGUGAUGAAGGUUUUCGGAUCGUAAAGCUCUGUUGUUAGGGAAGAACAAGUGCAAGAGUAACUGCUUGCACCUUGACGGUACCUAACCAGAAAGCCACGGCUAACUACGUGCCAGCAGCCGCGGUAAUACGUAGGUGGCAAGCGUUGUCCGGAAUUAUUGGGCGUAAAGGGCUCGCAGGCGGUUUCUUAAGUCUGAUGUGAAAGCCCCCGGCUCAACCGGGGAGGGUCAUUGGAAACUGGGAAACUUGAGUGCAGAAGAGGAGAGUGGAAUUCCACGUGUAGCGGUGAAAUGCGUAGAGAUGUGGAGGAACACCAGUGGCGAAGGCGACUCUCUGGUCUGUAACUGACGCUGAGGAGCGAAAGCGUGGGGAGCGAACAGGAUUAGAUACCCUGGUAGUCCACGCCGUAAACGAUGAGUGCUAAGUGUUAGGGGGUUUCCGCCCCUUAGUGCUGCAGCUAACGCAUUAAGCACUCCGCCUGGGGAGUAC
Molecule: ribosomal RNA, 850 nt
Filed under: uncultured bacterium
Lineage: Bacteria
Description: bacterial SSU rRNA
Rfam family: Bacterial small subunit ribosomal RNA
Source: RNAcentral